Molecule: transfer RNA, 77 nt
Filed under: Methylibium petroleiphilum PM1
Lineage: Bacteria; Pseudomonadati; Pseudomonadota; Betaproteobacteria; Burkholderiales; Sphaerotilaceae
Description: tRNA-Val
Source: RNAcentral
ACUCCCACAGCAUGAUCUCGCCCGCGGCGAUCCGCGUGGAUCUGCGCUGCGCGCCGCCCGGGCGGCUGGAGACCGAG